Molecule: ribosomal RNA, 253 nt
Filed under: uncultured bacterium
Lineage: Bacteria
Description: partial 16S ribosomal RNA
Rfam family: Bacterial small subunit ribosomal RNA
Source: RNAcentral
UACGUAGGGUGCGAGCGUUGUCCGGAAUUAUUGGGCGUAAAGGGCUCGUAGGCGGUCUGUUGCGUCAGGAGUGAAAACUCGGGGCUUAACCCCGAGCCUGCUUCUGAUACGGGCAGACUAGAGGUAUGCAGGGGAGAACGGAAUUCCUGGUGUAGCGGUGAAAUGCGCAGAUAUCAGGAGGAACACCGGUGGCGAAGGCGACUACCUGGCCUGUUCUUGACGCUGAGGCGCGAAAGCUAGGGGAGCAAACGGG